UACAGAGGGUGCAAGCGUUAAUCGGAAUUACUGGGCGUAAAGCGCGCGUAGGUGGUUUGUUAAGUUGGAUGUGAAAUCCCCGGGCUCAACCUGGGAACUGCAUCCAAAACUGGCAAGCUAGAGUAUGGUAGAGGGUGGUGGAAUUUCCUGUGUAGCGGUGAAAUGCGUAGAUAUAGGAAGGAACACCAGUGGCGAAGGCGACCACCUGGACUGAUACUGACACUGAGGUGCGAAAGCGUGGGGAGCGAACUGG
This 253-nucleotide ribosomal RNA is filed under the name uncultured bacterium. RNAcentral's name for it is "partial 16S ribosomal RNA". It matches the Rfam family "Bacterial small subunit ribosomal RNA", at positions 524 to 776 of the family's 1533-position model. The record is from RNAcentral.